CCUACGGGAGGCAGCAGUAGGGAAUAUUGCUCAAUGGGGGAAACCCUGAAGCAGCAACGCCGCGUGGAGGAUGAAGGUUUUCGGAUUGUAAACCCUUUUUUUUCAGGAAGAUAAGACCGGUAUCCAACGAAUAAGCACCGGCUAACUCCGUGCCAGCAGCCGCGGUAAUACGGCGGGUGCAACCGUUAUUCGGAAUCACUGGGCGUAAAGGGCGUGUAGGCGGGUUAGCAAGUCAGAUGUGAAAUCCUAGGGCUUAACCAUAGAACUGCAUUUGAAACUGUUAUUCUAGAGUAUGGGAGAGGUAGGUGGAAUGCUUGGUGUAGGGGUAAAAUCCGUAGAGAUCAAGAGGAAUACUCAUUGCGAAGGCGACCUGCUAGAACAUAACUGACGCUGAUGCGCGAAAGCGUGGGGAGCAAACAGGAUUAGAUACCCCUGUAGUC
This 440-nucleotide ribosomal RNA is filed under the name uncultured bacterium. RNAcentral describes it as "partial 16S ribosomal RNA". It matches the Rfam family "Bacterial small subunit ribosomal RNA", at positions 338 to 795 of the family's 1533-position model. The record is from RNAcentral.